AUUGUAGUGAGGUGUAAUAUUAAAAGAGGGUUAUUUCUUUUGAGUGUUGUAGUGGUCUUUGGAGUAUUUUUCUCGGACCUACAAAGUGUAAAUUCCUUACUACAGUGAUAUCAGUUGCUCCUCUCAGGGCCGUGGUUUUUUCCCUUAUUCAGAAGGGUUUUCCACGUAAAAAUCCAGGUGUCGUUGUUACUCUUUUGUAUCAGUUGCUCCUCUCAGGACCGUGGUUUUUCCCUUAUUCUGAAGGGUUUUCCACGUAAAAAUCUUGGUGUCAUUGUUAAUCUUUUUAUUCUUGUUAAUUACCGUAUCUCGGUGCUACAUUAUUAUUCCGCUUUUAUCGCCGUGAAUAUUAUUUUGGUAGGGGAUUUAUUCCCAACAACUGGUAUCAGAGCACAGGUUCUGCNNNNNNNNNNNNNNNNNNNNNNNNNNNNNNNNNNNNNNNNNNNNNNNNNNNNNNNNNNNNNNNNNNNNNNNNNNNNNNNNNNNNNNNNNNNNNNNNNNNNNNNNNNNNNNNNNNNNNNNNNNNNNNNNNNNNNNNNNNNNNNNNNNNNNNNNNNNNNNNNNNNNNNNNNNNNNNNNNNNNNNNNNNNNNNNNNNNNNNNNNNNNNNNNNNNNNNNNNNNNNAGCUGCUAGUGCAAUCAGGUUGCACUUAUCGGAUGAUGUGGUAAAUAACAUCAUUGAUGAAGACACUGCACAUGGAAUUUGGACAAGGUUGAAAAGCCUAUACAUGUCCAAAACACUAACAAAUAAAUUGUACAUGAAGAAACAGUUAUACGCCAUACACAUUGGUGAAGGUAUGAAUUUUUUGUCGCAUUUAAAUGUGUUUAACGAACUAAUCACACAGCUUGCCAACCUCGAAGUAAAAAUCGAGGAAGAAGAUAAAGCCAUCUUGCUAUUGAACUCGUCGCCAUCUUCGUACGAUAAUUUGGCAACAACCAUCAUGCACGGUAAGACUACUACUGAGUUGAAAGAUGUCACAUCGGCUUUUUUACUCAAUGAGAAGAUGAGAAAGAAGCUUGAAAAUCAAGGACAAGCUCUUAUCAUAGAAGGUAGAGGCAGGAGUUAUCAAAGGAGUUCGAGCAACUAUGGUAGAUCCGGAGCUCGUGGAAAGUCAAAGAAUCGAUCCAAAUCAAAAGCCAGAAAUUUUGCAACAACCAUCCCGAAAUUAAAUUUGCCAGCAAAUAAAUUUAGCAUAUGCCAAUAUCUAUCACAUGGUGGACCCCUCAAGAAGCCAAAAGGUUGGCCAUCUUACAACUCGAAUUUAACUCAACAUAUUAUAUGACUUAAAAUGGGUUAGAGAUAAAGGGCGUUGUGUCAAAGGAAGCCAUUGAUAUGUUUGCCGUGAACACAGUCGAAGAAAGAGAGAGAAGGUUGGGAGAGAAAGUAACUGUUCUAUUGAACUUGAACAAAGUCUGAAGAAAUGUAAUGUACAAACACUAUAUAUUAACUACUAAAACUAACUAAUUAGUCAUUUACUUAAAUAACCUUACUAACUACUCAACCUACAUCUAUAUUCGUACUCCCCCUCAAGCUGUGCAGUGUGAAUAGAUUGAACACUCCCAGCUUGGAUAAUAAGAACUCGUGUUGUGCCUUCCCUAAUCCUUUUGUCAACACAUCUGCAAUUUGCAAGUUUGUAGAAACAUGUGCAAUUUGUAUUAGGCCUUGUUGAAUCUUUUCUCGAAUGAAAUGGCAGUCUAUAUCGAUAUGCUUUGUUCUUUCAUGGUAAAUGGGAUUUGCAGAUAUUUGUAUGGCUGCUUUACUGUCAUAAUAGAGCUUUAUAGGAAGCUGUAGCUCAACACUCAGCUCCUUGAGCAGCCCUGUCAACAACACUAUUUCUACUAUGGCAUUAGCCAUACUUCUAUACUCAGCUUCUGUAGAACUUCUUGAUAUAAUAUUCUGCUUCUUGGAUUUCUAGGAGAUAAGAGAAUUUCCCAGUUUAACCACAAAUCUACAAAUCCACUCACCGAUCCUCUAGUCAUUGGAAAGUAGCCCCUACAUCACAUUACACUGUGAGCUGAUUAGAUACUUGAAAAGAAAGCACGAUUCCCAACCCUGGUACAUUCUUGAGAUAUCUUACCACUCUUAAGGCCCCUUCCCAAUGAGACUUCUUUGGCAUGUGCAUAAACUGUAGAGUUUGGACUGCAUAACUGAUAUCAGGCCUUGUCAUGGUGAGGUAUAACAGCUUUCCAACCAACUGUUGAUAUCUGCUUGGAUCAAUAAGUAACUCAUCUGCAACUACAUUGGCAUUUGCUUGAGCAUUAUUGUGAUCAUAUUCAGCACUAGUAUUUACGGCUAGUGUCUAGUGGUGUGCGGGCUGGUUUAGAACCUGCCAAACCAAGUGUAGCAAUAAGAUCAAGAGUGAACCUUACUUUGACAGACCAAAAUGCCUUGUUUGCUCCUAGAAACUUCAAGACCAAGGAAAUAUCUCAUUUCCCCUAGAUUCUUGAUCUUGAAGUGACUUUGUAAGAGAGAUUUGGCCUCCUAAAUCAAUUGACAAGAAGAACCAGUGAUCAAGAGGUCAUCCACAUAGAUGAGAAUUAGAACUAAGCCAGAAUUGGACUUUUUACUGAAAAGAGAAUAGUCAUGAUGGAUUUGGAGAAAUCCUGAUGAAGAGAGGGCUUCACUAAGCAUCAGGUUCCACUGCCUAGAAGCCUGUUUUAAGCCCAUAUAAGGACUUCUGAAGUUUGCACACUCUAGGAGGCUCCCUAUCACUUAAAAGACCAGGAGGAGGAGUCAUGUAGACUUCUUCUAACAGAUCACCUUAAAGAAAGGCAUUGAAGACAUCCAUUUGAUGUAGCUUCCAUAUAUGCAUGGCUGCCAAGGACAAAACAAUCCUUACUGUAACCAUUUUCACCACAGGUGAGAAGGUCUUUUGUAAUCAAGCCCUUCUUGUUGAGUGUAACCCUUUGCCACUAAGCGAGCUUUAUAUCUUUCCACCUCUCCUUGGGCAUUGUAUUUCACCUUAUACACUCAUUUACAUCUUAUGUCUCUCUUGGUAGGAGGUAGAGAAACCAAUUCCCAUGUGUGAUUAUCUUGGAGAGCCUUUAGCUCAGCAUCCAUGGAAGUAAUCCAUUUGGGAUCUUGAAGAGCGUCAGUAUAGGUGGCAGGUUCCAUAAUAGCAUUAAAAGAACAGAUGGAGUUGAAGUAAGAAGAAGAUAAGGAAGCAUAUGACAUGUAUGCUGAUAUUGGAUAACUGGAACUUGAUACUGUAGAAGGCCCUGCCUCUGGCAUCCCAUGAACAAAAUCAUUAAGCCAUCUAGGUGGCUUAGAAGUCCUAGCAGACUUUCUGAGUCCCUCAGCUGGUGCAGCAUUCAGUGAAUCCAUAUUUGGAGGUGGCACUACUGGUGCAGAAGUUGGUGUGGGAAUAGGAGGCUGAACUAGGUUUGCUGAAGUUUGCAACAUAUGUUCAGGAAUUGGUGAUGCCUUAGAAUGAAUUGAUGGAGCCUCUGAAUCAACAACAUCAACAAAAAAGGCAUCAUCUACAUCAAGAAGUUGCUCACCAGUGCUUCUCUUUUGUGCUGAGAAUGUAGUAUGAAAAGGAAAUAUGUGUUCCUUGAAAGAGACAUCCCUGCUAACAAAGAAAUGUUUGCUAGUAAGGCUAUAUAAUCGAUAACAUUUUUGAAUGGACAAAUACCCCAUAUGGACUGCAUGUUCUGCUCUAGCUCCAAAUUAUCACCUCUAUCUGUCGCUGUGGCAUAACAAAGACUCCCCGAAACUCUCAGAUGCUGUAGUUUGGGUGGCCUACCAUAGAACAUCUCAAAAGGUGAUUUACCAGCCAAUGUUGUGGAUGGUAUCAUGUUGUUCAACUACACUGCAUUUUGUACACAAAAACCCCAUAAAUUCAGAGGAAUAUUUCCUUGAAACCUGAUGGCCCUUACAACUUCAAGAAUCUACCUGUAUUUUUGUUCAACCACUUCAUUUUGUUGGGGUGUGUAAACACAGGAGCUUUGAUGCACUAUAACUGCAUGUCAAACAGUUCAGCACAAUGGGAAUUAAAGAACUUAGUUCCAUUGGCUGUUCUAAACACUUUGAUAAUACUAUUAAAUUGUGUCUUCACAAGAGUCAUGAAUCCCUUUAUUAUUAUAGAUUCAUCACUUUUAAGUUUGAGCAAGAAAAUACAUACCAUUCUACUAUACCAAAGAAAGAAUCUAUUCCCAUCAUAUGCUGGAGUUCUAUAAAGACCCCACAAAUUACCAUGCACCAAAUCAAAGGCCUUAGAAGCUCUACUAGUACUUUGUGGAAAAGAAACUCUUGUUUGUUUUGCCAGAGGGCAAAUGACACAAACACUAUUAUGAGUGUGUAAUUUAUUACAUUUUGUGAUAUGCAUCUGCUAUAGGAUCUUAUGUGGGACAUGUCCUAAUCUUCUAUACCAUAGUUCUUCUUCAUUGUUCAUACAUAGCACUGCUGCUUGAGCUCUGUCUCCAUCACUGCAAGGCCGGUAGUAGAGAUCUCCAUUCCUUCUACCAGUCCCCUUCACCUUUCCGGUGUGAAGGUCCUGCAUGAGGCAAAAAUCAGGAUAGAAUUGCAUGCAACAAUUUAGUUCCCUUGUCAAUUUUGACACUGAUAGUAGAUUAUAUAUAAACCCUGGUAUGCAAAGUACGUUGGAUAUUAUCCCUUGAUCUAGUUCUGAGCUUCCUACACAGGAUAUAGCCAAGCUAUUACCAUUUGGUAAAAGAACAUUUCCUCCUAUGCUUCUAGAAUUUUGUUUAGGCCUGGAGGUCAUAUCACUACUAGACACCAUGAGGUCUGUUGCACCUGUAUCUACAAUCCAUUUAACUUCCUUGGCUUUACUAUUAUUUGAAUGAUCUACACUGACAACAUUUGCAAGUAUUGGAGAAUCAAUUAUACCUACUGCAUUAGCUGCAUUCACUAUUGAUUCUUGUGAGCUGUCCUUUUGUAGCAUUUUCAAAUUUUGAUCAUAUUGUUCAACAGUAAAUGACAUUGGCAUCUGCAUAUUCAUUCUUGUAUCUCUUUCUGUACCUGCAAAGUAUCGUGAUGGCCCAAAAGAACCUGCAUUAAAGCAAUCAACAGUAGUUUGGGCACUUUCUGACAUAUUUCCCAUUCCCUGUUGUUGACUGUGGUUUCCUAAUUGCAUAGGAUUACCAAGGUGUGCAGAAUUAGCCACAGGCUUUCUUGUCCCCUUAAAAUCUGGCAGAUAUCCAACUAACUGAUAGCAAUUUUCCUUGUUAUGUCCUUUCAUCUUACAAAAUCACAAAUUACAUUGAAGUUCCUUUUAGGUUUCUGCAUCUAAGAACUUCUAGAACUCCAAAGUGCAGUAAUAUGAUUACCAUUCAUUAGUGAGCUGUGACCUAUAGAGCCUUGCUCUGUGGUUACCUUUUGAGUCUCAUCCUCAAUAACCAUGGCAUAUGCCUGAUUUAGACUAGGUUCUGUAGAUUUCAUAAGAAUUUGACGUCUUGCCUGACUAUAUGAGUCAUUCAAAGCUCCCAAAAUAAAAGCAACCUUUGUUGAUUUAAGAGAUCGACAUAGUCAUUCACAGAAUUUGGAGGUGGCACGAUUGCAUCAAAUCCCCCCCAUAACUCCUUUAAUUUUGUAAAAUAUGUGGAUACAAAAUCAGUACCUUGGGAUAUAGUUGCAAUUUCUCUAUGAAGCCGAUAGAUCCUCAUGCAAUUCACCUUGUCGAAUCUCUCACGAAGAUCCUCCCACACAGCUCGAGCAUUUGAUGCAUAUACAAUCCCACUGAGCAUGUCCGGUGACACAGUAUUCAUGAUCCACGAAAGAACUAUGGCAUUGCAAGUCCCCCGGUCCUCAUGCAAAGCUUCAGGAAAUUCAGCUUUUGUAUACUUGCUAUCAACAAACCCUAAUUUUCAUUUAGCUUGAAGUGCAAUCUUCAUCGAUCUCCGCCAUAUGCCGUAAUUCUCAGAUCCUUUGAGCUGGAUUGGAACCAACACUGAUCCUGGAGUAUCAAAUGGGUGCACGAACAGAUGAUGGGUAUGAUCGUUCUUGUUUUCCACCAUUUUUGGAUCAAAGAAGCUUUGAGACUUUGUUUAGUUUCUUUUGACUGAACCUCAACCUUCUCUACUUCCUAACGAACAUGCAAGCUCAGAUCUUCUUCGCCAGCUCUGAUACCAUGACAAAGCAGCCAUUAAUAUGCUUGCCGUGAACACAGUCGAAGAAAGAGGGAGAAGGUUGGGAGAGAAAGUAACUGUUCUAUUCAACUUGAACAAAGUCUGAAUAAAUGUACUGUACAAAUACUGUAUAUUAACUACUAAAACUAACUAAUUAGUCAUUUACUUAAAUGCCCUUACUAACUACUCAACCUACAUCUAUAUUCGUAAUAUGUUGCUUUUCACUCGACGUGGCUAUCAUUAUUCUUACCAACUACAAUAACAAUAUUAUACCCGGUAUAAUCCCACCAUAUAAGAUCUGGGGUAAGAUGCAUGCAGACCUUAUCCCACCUUUGUGAUUGUUAAUAUUUUUACCACUUGAUGGAAAUAAUGAUAUUUUUCAGAUUUAAUAUUAUACCAUAUUACCAUAGGAAAAGUCUUCGUACAUUAGGAAAAUGUGAGAAUAAAAUUUUGACAUUUUAGUGGAAUAAUCGUUGGCUACAUGCAUUCCCAAAGACACGUAAAUUGAUAUUAUAUUAACUAUUAUUCUAUAUUAUUUGUAGAAAUUUUCUUUUAAUAUGGAAAAAGCUAGAAUAUUUUGAACUAAUCCAAGUUUAUUUUUUGAAAUAAAAUUGGAUAGAGAAAUAAUAAACAUGCGAAAUUUUCACGUUCCCAAUUCUAAAGAUACACAUCCAUUUGAGAAUAUUGAGUCAUAAAUUUUCAUUAAAAUUUAAAGAAAUGAGAGAUUCUUCUACGAAUUCAUGUCUAGUAAAAUAUCACGUCAUAACCAUAAUAUGUUUUUAUAUAAUAAAAAAAGGGAUAAUUUUGCUGCCAUGACUGCGUGUUUAUUAUGAUUUGCACGAUAUAUUAGAUCGGCGGCUUCUCGAGCUUCACUUCCACCUGGCAAUUUCAAAAUUUGAAUAAACCCCCCAGUAUAAAAGCCCCAAAUUCAACUUACCAGCAGCCAUUUGCAUUUCAGAGAGAAACUUCGAGAAGAGAUGCAGAAGAGAUUGAGAUCGACGAGGAAGUCAUCGGCGGGAAGUCCUGUCCAGUCGAUGAGUGAGUCUCCGAAGCCAUUCGAGUUCAACUUCAAUAUGUUCAACGCUAGGCCAACAUCGUCAUCGUCGAAGAAGCAGAAGAAGAGGACAACUGGAAAGAAGAGUUUCAAUAAUUCAAGUCCGGAGCAGGUGAAGCCUGCCGGUUGUUCCCCUGUGUCGGUCACAAAUCUGAAGACGAUUGCGGAUCUGAAGGAAUUCGCAUCGUCUCAAUUGGACUCUGUUAAGCGCCAGGUUGAGCGAUCGCAUAUGGAGAUUCUUAAGGACCUCGAGGCUUCUCAGUCUCGCCUUCAGAAACGUCUCAAGGUCUCUCUCUCUGUGUGUGUGUGUGUGUAUGUAUUCAAUUUACACACUUAACCAUAGAUCAUGAUUCAUGAAGAUGACUUUAUAUUCGUGAUUUUCUGCGUUUCAUCUUUCUACUUUAGAGCAUAAGCUCUUGCCGUUUGCUAGUGCUUAGGUCAGUAGUGGAGUUAGCACUUAUGCAUUCGUAAUAUGUAUGUGUGUGUGUAUUUAUGUGUGAUAUGUGGUGGUUUCCGGCUAAAUUUCUCAAUUCGGUGAUCUGUCAGCUGCUUCCGCUUUAUUGAUCUAGUUUAAGAACUUGCAUGAGUUGUACCGGAAACAAAUUGUUGUUCUCUCUGUUUUGAUGUUGCUUUUGCGUUUUGAGAUGCAGCUUCUAAGAAGUUAGGUGUAAGAAACUUAGUGUAAUGAUCUCAAUAAAUUGAAUAGUGAAUGUUCUAGAACAUUCUCGAUUAUCAAAGUUUGAGGUCUAGCAUCAGGGUUGUAGGAUAGGGGCUCCUACAGUUUUUCGUACUCCUCACGUAAAUUGAAUAGUGAAUGUUCUAGAUCAUUCCCGACUAUCAAAGUUUAAUCAUCUUGUUACUGUAUUCUGAUUUAGUCAGAAUCUUAGAUUCGUUAUAAGUAUUCCUCUCAGAACUGUUUUAGUGCCAGGUAGAUACGCUUUAAGCAUAGUAAAGCUGUCCUUUUUGCUAAAUAUGAAUAGGCUUAUGGAAACUUCCUCAAUGAUGGACUAAAAUGUACUUUGCAUAGGAUAUCUGGAUUUUUUGGCUCUCACAAACAUUCAAGCUUAACGCCAAGCUCUGGAAAAUUGUCUGUUGACAUAGCGAUAUAUAGCACUGAAGUGUAAUUUAGGCUCUUCUGCGAGAGAUUCCAAUGUUAAAGUACCAAAUCAUUUGUCCAUUUUGUACUACAAUUAGUGCAGUUUUGUGCUUUGUUUUUAACAAUGAACCUGAAUAUUUUGCUGCACUUUAUUGGAAGAGGAUAUUUAACAGACUUGCAGGAGAUAUGAGUUUCCUUAGUGAUGAUCUUGUCCGCGAUUUGUUUGAUGGAAAAUAACCAGAUAUAUCACAUUGGGAACACUAUAAUAGAAUAUGUAGCUUGUUAAAUGCAAAGUAAUGGGCUUCAAUCAUGUCAUUUGAGUAAGAAAGAGCAUCUAGAUUUAACACCUUAGUUUUGUUACUGAAAUUAGAAAAAAAAAGCAUUUAUAAGCUCUAUGAGAUUAGGUCAGUUUUGAGUUAUUGACCGAAAAUCAAGUAAACAAGGACUAGAAGUUUGUCUGCUGUAAGCAGAUCUCAUUCUUUACAAGCUUCCAUCAAGCUGUGGAUAAAUAAGAUUAAGGAAAACCGUCGUAGUUACAUGAUUUUUCAUUGUUUCAUAAUUCCAUUGAACAUGGGUUUUAAUUUUAGUGUAAGUAGUUUUCUUUCGUUGGCUCUCUACAUUGUUAUGUUGUAACUUCAACUUCUUAAGCAAAUUAAAAGGGCUAGAAGAACCAUCCAUGACACAGUUAUUCAGAUAAUAUUAGCAUAUUCCACAAACCAGAGCUUUUUCAUAUCUGUUGUAAAUUUGUUAUUUCGUUACAUUUUCCUUCUAAUAUUUUGAAAAUUAAACAGAUUCAGACACAAGGAUGCUAUCAAGUGGCAGAUGAAGCAGAAAAGGAGUACAAAAAGAUGUCUGACCGACUCAGCGAAGGCAGGGAGGCAAUGAAGGUAAAUCUUCCAUUAUCUGCUAUUGCCUUUAACAAGUCUGCUCCUAUUUAAUCUCAAUUGUUGUGCCAUUACCAUUAGUUAAUUUAAUUUUUCCUCUCUAGGCUUCAUAUUCUACAUUCAUGGCAGAUCUUCAAGCUAGUGGAUCUCGUCGUAAGUUCUUAGCCUUUUGUCAACUAUGAGGAUAUGCUUUUUAGUAACUGCAACUAUAUGCUGCAAGUUUUUGACAAUUGAACACUUUAAUAACCUUGAAUACGAUAAGCAGAUGAAGUAAUUGACUGUAUUUUCUUAUUCUUUCUUUAUUGGCUUGGCCAAAAGUGUGGCAAAUUCUUCUGAAUUGCCUUUCGGAUUCGGAUGAACUUCUUAAAAACUUGUUCACAUACUUUACAGUUUGCAAACAAACCAUCCCCGAGCUGUCACAAUCCGUUGAGAAAGCCACAGAUGCUCUCAGGAACCGUUAUGGGAUCCAUUCAACUUAAGCUUGUUGAAGGCAUUGGCAUUAAGGUAAUUUCUUUUGCUGCUUGAUUGUUUUUGUACUUGAAUCUGUCUUAUGUUUCUCAAAAUCUGAACUAAGAAUUAUAUGGGCGAUAAGUGUUUUAGUUAUCUUUCCCCUAUAACUAUGUAUUUGCUGCUUGAUUGUUUUUGUACUUAUAUCUAUCUUAUGUUUCUCAAAAUCUGAACUAAGAAUUAUAUAGGGCGAUAAGUGUUUUAGUUUAUCUUUCCUAUAACUAUGUUAUUGUUUUACCUGGUAUAUGGAACUUGAGUUAGGAAUUUUUUCCUUUCAAUGGUGGUACAAAAUCAUCAGAACAACACGGUAGCUGGUAUAAAAGCAUAGAUUGUCAUGGCAUAUUCGUUUUAAAUAUCGUGAAAUAUACCUGGGGGAAGUGCCAAUGAAAUCCUUUCUCCUUAUCUGUAUGGCCAUAUUGAAGACUUGACAAGAUCUAGAUUGCUUAGUACCGUGUUAUAACUUCCGUUUGGUUCAUGUUUCUUGCAAUUAUUUCAUUUAUUUCAUUGAAGGACUCUGUUAGAACUUAAGCAAGAAGUGGAAAAUAGAAUUAGCUCUUGUAAAAAUGAAAUAUGUAACAUAUCAGAUAUAGCGAUUUGAAAUCAGUACUUCCAAAAUCAUUUUGGGUGCUUGGCUCCUUGCAGAAUGACCCGUUUCUACCUUUCAAGCCUUCAUGCAUCUGAUACAAUUCAUUCAUUUCACUCUAAUCAAUUCUGUACAGAAAUUUGAGCAGUAAGCCAGCAUAUAUCCCUGAGGUUGAAACACUAAUUGAUAAUAAAUCAUCUUCAGAUGGCAGCUGGGCUGAUGAGAAGCCCAUCUGCAAUUUUUUAUUGCAUUGAUUCAAGCAUUUUGAUCUUGUUUUGUCAUUGUUUACUGUAGUGUGUUUUUUUGGUUGAUCAAAUGAUUUUCUGUCCGUCUUAUAUAAAGCAUUGUCAUUUGUCUUUGAUUGACAUUUUUCUGAAACUCAUAAUCCAUUUUAAUUUGAGUUAUAUAAUUUCUUGAUAGGUGGAAUCUAGUUACUCUGAAUUACAUUAACGAAGACAAUGUUGGAGCAGAUGGAGAUAGUUCAAGUGAUUAUCUUUUGAGGCCUGCUUACAACAUAAAAUCAUCCAUGAAAAUUCGAACUCCUUUUUGCUUACUGUUGCAGUUUCUUGAGGAAUAUAGAUAACAUGCAAAUUUGAGUACUUAGUCAGUUAGUCUUGUUAAAUUAACCGCUUUCCAUGUGCAUUGCAUGUGCCAUUUCCUUGGCAGCUGAAUUUCGCUCCAAGGCUGCCUUGUGCCAUGCCUUAGCUCAAUUUGACAUUGGCCCAUGCCAAUGUUAUGCCCGCAUUCCGUUGCCAUGAUUUUGCCGCACACGCCCAGUGCCGCUGCCGCCGGCACACCGCCUUGGCUUAGUUUUCUGCCUUGUCAGUACCAAUCCUCAUUUCCCUCGUGCCAUUGCUUGUUCUUUCUUUCCCAUAGCCUUGUCUUAGCUAUUGAAAGCCUUUGCUAUGAACCCGCAUUUCCGCCUCGCCUUAGCUUAGCCCGCACAUAGCUGUCACAACCCAAAAAUGGUCUACUUGAGGAUUAUGUAUAAGAGUAUAAUGUAGUGUAUUUGUAGAGAAAUCCGGCUUAGUAUUUCUAUCAGUACUUAAGCUUUUGAAAGCUCCGAUAAAGAGAUUGAUAGCUUGCAGUAUAUGGGAAUUUCUAUGUGCAUGAUUUUUUUCAUAACGAGCUAGCUAAAUGUGAUCGACGUUAAUUAUUAUUGUUGGGAUAUAUACUAUUAACGAUGAAUUUGUAUAAAUAUAGUGUUUAUUAUGAUAUAAUUGUUCAUUCAAUUUCAAUAAAAAGUUUUAUUAGCACACAGAUGACUAAUUAUUUUUAAAAGUUAAAAUAUUUAUUACAUAGCAUUAAAAAUCCAAAAGUGAAAAAUAACAAGGGUAAACUAAUCAAAAAGUACUUCUUCUUAAUACUCCCUUCAAUCCACAUUAAUUAAUUUUUUGACCUUGUUUAUGGUCCACAAUAAUAUUAAUUUUUUUUAGAUAUCAAGAAUUAACUUUUUUUUUUCAAAACUUGCUCUUGCAGUAAAGAACCUAGGAGUUUAUUAUAUUUCUAAUAAAUAAAUUAAGAUUAAUAUGAUCAAUUUGAUUAUGUAAAAAGUUGAACUCCUUAACAUGUGUGAAAAUAACUAAAAAGAUCAACAAAAGUGAAUCGGAGAGAGUAGUCUCUUAAGGAACAUAUAAAGUAGAAACAACAACAACAACAACUACCCAGUACAUUCCCACCAUGUGGGGUCUGGGGAGGGUAAUAUGUAGACGAGCCUUACCCCUGGCCGAAAGGGCAGAGAGGCUGUUUCAUGACAACUAAAAUAGACAGAAGGGAAUAUAAAAAGAAAUGAUUUCUGAUAAAACAAAAAAUUCACCAUGUUCGCUUCAAUGGAAAAUGUAAAACAAACUUGAAUACGCCGUCAUCUCAUACUUGAUCAAGGAUCAACUAAAUACAAAGUCCUACUAAACAUAGUGCACCUCUAGUAACCCUAGCAAAGAACAAUAUGGAAAUCACUACAAAUAACGUCAUUCAUCUUUAAAAAAUUCUUGAAUGAGAUCAAAGAUACUGCUUUGAUUGUGGCGUAUAUUUUUGCUUUUGACGGAAACUAGACUCUCCUUAUAACUUAAUGCCCAUCUGCGAGCCUACUCUAUUUUAGAAUCAAGUAGACGUGUAAUUUCAUGGGUUUUGGACUCAUAGAUCACAAAAGCUUCGUCUUUUGAAUAUAAAAUAAUCUUUUCAUGACCCCACAAACCAAUAGGGCAAGAGUUAGGUAUUGUAGGAACCACAUUCAGGACUCUAGUCCACAACUUUUCGUUGCUAAUUAGCCAUACAUCAAUUUGAUAUGCAAAAAUGAAGUCAUUGAAAUCAUUGCGCACUAGCAGGGCAAUGGACUCAUAGAGAGUAAUUAAACCAUCAAUGAGACCUGAUAUGUUAGGCCCUGGAAUCUCACCAAACACUUCAUUUUGCAUGUUAAAAUAUCGAAUUAGAAGGACUGGUUGCAAAGCAGUUGCACCACUGCUUAAUGUACUCCGGUAAUAAACUCCAUUAACACAGGUGGAGCACAAGGAGUUUUCCAUGCAUGAAGGAACUCUAUUGUCAAAGCUGCAUGCUAAAUUUCUCCAACAGUCUUUGCCUGAAGAGUAAACGGCAGCAAAAACACGAUCUAUGUUCCAGUACUCUUCUUGAUUCCAAUAAUUCAUAACGUAGACCACUUUGUAAUCUGACUUAACGGAUCAAACCCAAAGCCAAAUAUAUGUCUAAAGUGACCACGAGGCAUGCUGAUUUUGAUGUUAUAUGUAUUGGGAAUAGACCCCUACCAAAAUAAUAUUUACGGUAAUAAAAGCGGAAUAAUAAUGUAGCACCGAGAUACGGNNNNNNNNNNNNNNNNNNNNNNNNNNNNNNNNNNNNNNNNNNNNNNNNNNNNNNNNNNNNNNNNNNNNNNNNNNNNNNNNNNNNNNNNNNNNNNNNNNNNNNNNNNNNNNNNNNNNNNNNNNNNNNNNNNNNNNNNNNNNNNNNNNNNNNNNNNNNNNNNNNNNNNNNNNNNNNNNNNNNNNNNUACACUUUGUAGGUCCGAGUAAAAUACUCCAAAGACCACUACAACACUCAAAAGAAAAUAACCCUCUUUUGAUAUUUUCACCUCACUACAAUAUCGCUCAAUCUCUAUUUUCCUCACAGGCUAUUUUCUUAUACACUGUCUGCGAAACCUUACUCUCAGAUAUAUUUUUCUUUGAUUUUUGUUGGUUGUAAAAAAUGAGAGCCGAAGCUCUCAUUUUAUAGGCAGAAUACAUCCUACCUUUCUUGACAUUUUAUUUCUGCAGCAUGCUUAAUUUGACAGAAACAAAAAACAACGUGUUUUGACAAAAAAAUGAGGAAUGUUGAUUUUCUUCCUUAAUUUAAGGGGGCUGGACCCAUCAAUCUCCCCCUCUAGUUCCAUUUAUCUAGAGGAGGUAGCAGUGUCUUUUAGUUUGAAUGCAUGCCGACAAGUUCUUUGCAUAGUUCGAACUUGUUCCUUGGUACCACCUUGGUCUGCAUAUUUGCGGGAUUCUCACUUAUAGAAAUCUUCAAAACUUUUAGAGAUUCAUCAUCUACCAUUUCUCGAAUCCAAUGAUAUCUCACGUCAAUGUGUUUGGUCCUUGCAUGGUACAUAGAGUUCUUGCUAUGGUCUAUUGUACUUUGACUGUCACAAUAGAUGACACACUCUUCUGAUGCAAUCCAAGCCCUUGAAGGAACAGUUUGGGCCAUAUCAUCUCCUUUCCAAUUUCUGUAGUGGUAAUGUACUCUGCUCCAGUUUCUGUAGUGGUAAUGUACUCUGCUUCAGUUGUUGAAAGUGCAAUACACUUUUGCAACUUAGACUACCAUGAUAUAGCUCCCCCUGAAAAUGUAAAAUGUAAACAACUAUCCAGUAGUGGAUUACAACACCAACUGCGUGAGCAAUAUCAGGUCUACUACAUACCAUUGCAUACAUCAAACUUCCGACUGCUGAAGAAUAAGGAACUCUAGCCAUGUUCCCUUUCUCCUCCUCUUUUGUAGGACACAUCUUUUUGCUCAAUUUUAGAUGACUAGGAAGAGGUGCGCUGACUGGCUUAGCAUUCUUCAUGUUGAAGCGUUCUAGUACAUGUUCAAUGUACUUCUCAUGAGAUAACCACAACUUUCUACUUGUUCUCUCUCAAACUAUCUUCAUCCAUAGAAUUUUUUGUGCUGGGCCCAAGUCCUUCAUAUCAAAUGACUUGGACAGAUCUCCCUUCAANNNNNNNNNNNNNNNNNNNNNNNNNNNNNNNNNNNNNNNNNNNNNNNNNNNNNNNNNNNNNNNNNNAGAUCUCCCUUCAACUUUGCUAUCAACCCCUUGUCUUUUCCUACAAUUAACAUGUCAUCCACAUACAACAACAAUAUAAUAAAAUUAUUUUCAGAAAAUGUUAUGAAGUAUACACAUGGAUCAGAAUAGGUCUUUAUGUAUGUUUGACUUUUCAUUAAAGAGUCAAACUUCAUGUACCACUUCCUUGGUGCCUGCUUUAUUCCAUAAAGACUCUUAUUCAAUUUGCACGCCAUGUAUUUCUUUCCAGAUACUUCAAAUCCUUCUGGAUGCUCCAUAUAAAUCUCUUAUUUCAAAUCUCUAUGAAGAAAUGCAGUUUUCACAUCCAACUACUCCACUUCAAGAUCUAGGCUAGCUGCUAAGCUCAAAAUUGUUCGAAUAGAAGUCAUUUUGACUACAAGUGAGAAAAUUUCAUCAAAAUCAAUACCUUUCUUCUGUUCGAAGCCUAUAACCACCAAUCGAGCUUUGUAUCUGACCAACUUUCCAUUUCCAUCUUUCUUGAGUUUAUAGACCCAUUUGCAUUUGAGUGAUCUUUUACCCUUUGGAAGUUCAACCAGCUUGUAUGUGCCAUUUUUCUGUAGAGAUUCCAUCUCUUCUUGCAUGGCUUUCAUCCACUGGUUCUUUUCUGGAUAGGACAACACCUCCAUAAGAAUUUCUGGCUCCCCCUCAUCAUUGAUGAGGACAUACUCUGUGGAAGGGUACCUGCAUGACUCUACCCUUGGCCUCUAUGAUCUCCUCAGAGGUUGAGGUUGUUCUUCUUCCUGAGUGGGGUGCUCCAUUUCAUCCACUGGUUCUUUUCUAGACGGGACAACACCUUCUUAAGACAUUCUGGCUCCCCCUCAUCACUGAUGAGGACAUACUCUGUGGAACGGUACUUGUAAGACUCUACCCUUGGCCUCUCCGAUCUCCUCAGAGGUUGAGGUUGUUCUUCUUCUUGAGUGGGGNNNNNNNNNNNNNNNNNNNNNNNNNNNNNNNNNNNNNNNNNNNNCUCUACCCUUGGCCUCUCCGAUCUCCUCAGAGGUUGAGGUUGUUCUUCUUCCUGAGUGGGGUGCUCCACUUCCUCGACACCUUCAUUAAGUUGCUCCCCCUGCUGAAUAACCUCACCAGGUUGCUCCCCCUGCUUGGCAACCUCGUCGGUCGUACUUUCUGCACUUGUGGGAUUGUUAGAAGUAGAAGGAAUAGUAACAAGGUUAAGAAUUAUACCGUUCUUCGCCUUUUCUAACAUAUCGGCAACAAUUCCAACUUCACUUUCUCGGAAGACUACAUCUCUACUUCUGAUGGCCUUAUUCUUUACAGGAUCCCACAAUCUGUACCCGAACUCUUCAUCUCCAUAUCCGAUAAAUAUGCAGGGAACAAAUUUAUCAUCCAGUUCUGUUCUCUGCUCUUUUGGUACAUGUGCAAAAGAUUUACAACUGAACACUUUCAGAUGCGAGUAGGACACCUACUUGUUGGUCCAAACUUUCUCUGGGAUGCAAACGCCAACGGAACUGAUGGACUCCUAUUGAUCAGGUAACAUGAUGUCUGAACUGCGUCACCCCAGAAUGACUUAGGCAGUUUAGCCAUUCUGAGCAUGCUUCUUACCUUCUCCACAAUGGUGCGGUUCAUCCUUUCGGCUACACCAUUGUGCUGUGGGGUUCCAGGAACUGUCUUUUCAUGUCUGAUCCCAUGGAUUGAACAGUACUCUUCAAAUUCCCUUAAAGUGUAGUCACCUCCAUUGUCACUUCAGAGACGCUUUAGCUUUUGACCUGUCUCCCUUUCUACUAGAACAUGAAAUUUCUGAAAAACUUGAAACACCUGAUCUUUGGUUUUCAAAAUAUAAACCCACAAUUUUCGUGAAGCAUUAUCAAUAAAAGUAACAAAAUAUUUGUUACCGCCCAUUGAUUCAAUUUCCAUUGGGCCACAAACAUCAGAAUAAAAGUAACAAAAUAUUUGUUACCGCCCAUUGAUUCAAUUUUCAUUAGGCCACAAACAUCAGAAUAUACUAAAUCAAGUAUAUUCAAUUUUCUUUCAGACGAUGUCUGAAAUGAGACUCCAUGCUGCUUACCAAAAAAACAGUACUCACAUGGUUUUAUUGUUAUACCUUUGGCAUAUGAAAUAAGUGAUUUCUUGGCAAGAAUCUGCAAUCCCUUCUCGCUCAUAUGAACCAUUCUUUUAUGCCACACAUUUGUAGAAAUCUCAUCUUGUGCCGCAUUCAAUUCACCUUGGCAUAUUUAUGCAUUUGUCCUGUACAAUGUGCCACGAGCAAUUCCCUUUGCAAUUACCAAUGAUCCCUUGGUGAGUCUCUACUUUUGAUUUGCAAAAUAGUUCUCGUAUCCAUCUCGGUCCAAAGCAAUUCCCGAGAUCAAGUUCAUCCGCAAAUCAAGUACAUGCUGCACAUCCUUUAGAACCAAUAUGUAUCCGACAUUUGUCUUGAUACAAAUGUCACCAAUACCCGCAAUCUUUGAGUAACUUGUGUUACCGAUUCUCUCUAUGCCGAAAUCACCUGCUACAUUUCUGCAAAAAAGAUUUCUUACCGGUGUUGCAUGGCAAGAUGUUGAUGUGUCAACCACCCAUUCCGACUCUGGACCUGAUCGAAUCACCUGCUACAUAUGUGCAAAAAAGAUCUCUUACCGGUGUGGCAUUGUAAGAUGUUGUUGUGUCAACCACCCAUUCCGACUCUGGACCUGACAGGUGCAUGCAUUCUUCUUCCUCAUUUNNNNNNNNNNNNNNNNNNNNNNNNNNNNNNNNNNNNNNNNNNNNNNNNNNNNNNNNNNNNNNNNNNNNNNNNNNNGACAACAUUGUCAUUGUUUUGCACCAUGGCAGCUGUGUUGUCGUCAUUCUUCUGGCCACUAGUUUCACCUUUGCCCUUCCUUGGAUUUGGGCAAUCUCUUAUGAAGUGACCUCGUUGAUCACAGUUGUAGCAAUUUCUGGCUUUUGAUUUGGAUCGAUUCUUUGACUUUCCACGAGCUCCGGAUUUACCAUAGUUGCUCGAACUCCUUUUGAUAACUCCUGCCUCUACCUUCUGUGAUAAGAGAUUGUCCUUAAUUUUGAGGCUUCUUUCUCAUAUUCUCAUUGAGUAAAAGAGCCGAUGUGACAUCUUUCAACUCAAUAUUAGUCUUACCGUGCAGGAUGAUUGUUGCCAAAUUAUCGUACGAAGAUGGCAACGAGUUCAAUAGCAAGAUGGCUUUAUCUUCCUCAGAGGUUGGCAAGCUGUGUGAUUAGUCCGUUAAACACAUUUAAAUGUGACAAAAAAUUCAUACCUUCACCCGUGUGUAGGGCGUAUAACUGCUUCUUCAGGUACAAUUUAUUUGUCAGCGUUUUGGACAUGUAUAGGCUUUCCAACCUUGUCCAAAGUCCACGUGCAGUGUUUUCAUCAAUGAUGUUAUUUACCACAUCAUCCGAUAAGUGCAACCUGAUUGCACUAGCCGCUCUUUCAUUCAAGUCAGCCUAAUCCUCAGCUUUCAUGGUAUCAGGCUUUUUGGCAUCAACAUCUAGUACCUUGUGUAAUUCUUAUUGGAUGAGCUGAUCCCUCAUCCUUCUUUGCCAUGUCGAGAAACCGUUAUCUCCGUUGAAUUUUGCUACGUCAUACUUUACUCCGGACAUUUUUACUUUCACCGAGUAUAGUACUACCGAUAGUGAAUAGUAUUUCAGGGAACGAGUAGAACCUAUCCUCUGAUACCAGUUGUUGGGAAUAAACCCCCUACCAAAAUAAUAUUCACGGUAAUAAAAGCGGAAUAAUAAUGUAGCAUCGAGAUACAGUAAUUAAUAAGAAUAAAAGAGUAAUAAUGACACCAAGAUUUUUACGUGGAAAACCCUUCUGAAUAAGGGAAAAAACCACGGCCCUGAGAAGAGCAACUGAUAUCACUAUCGUAAGGAAUUUUACGCUUUGUAGGUCCGAGUAAAAUACUCCAAAGACCACUAUAACACUCAAAAGAAAAUAAACCUCUUUUGAUAUUUUCACCUCACUACAAUAUCGCUAGCUCUCUAUUUUACUCACAGACUAUUUUCUUAUAUACUGUCUGUGAAACCUUACUCUCAGAUAUAUUUUUCUUUGAGUUUUGUUGGUUGUAAAAAUGAGAGCCGAAGCUCUCAUUUGAUAGGUAGAAUACAUCCUACUUUUCUUGAUAUUUUAUCUCUGCAAUAUACUUAAUUUGACAAAAACAAAAAACAACUUGGACUGUAUUAGCAACCACUUUUAACAAACAAAAUGAGGAAUGAUGAUUUUUCUUCCUUAAUUUAAGGGGGACCCCAUCAAUAUGGUGGAAGUGGCGUAGACUCUCUUAGAAUUGGGUUCCUCAGAGCCAUACGAUUAUCAGAACUCAACGUUUUGUACAAGAAAUAUAUACCAUCAACAGGACCAAGGAUCUCAGUCAAUGGAGCAGGUAUCUGUAAAUAACUAGGCUUUUCAUUGCAAGGAAAUCACACCGGGCAAUAUUUUCUCGGGCAGAAGAAGAGAGGUGCUUGAUUGUGAAGGAAUGUCGUGAAAGUGUAUAAAAGACGGGUUGGGUUUUUUUCCAAGUGAUUAAGGUGUUCUCUAACAAAAGAAGAAGAAGUUGUAAUAAGCGAGUACCAAUUCUUACGCACACAUUUGAAUCGUGCAAGAGAUUCCACAGGUAGCCUCACUAGAAUCUUUGUUACCAAAGCAUCUGACAGAGAGCGGCAAUUCUCCAUUCUGCUUGUUUAAUCAAAUUUUAAUGCAAUAAUAAGCUGCAAGAUGAAACGAUAAAUUUAAUUAGGGUGCAGAAUAUAAUAUCUCCAAAAAUGAAGCUAUAUAUCUAUUAAAAAAUUAACUACAAAAUGUUGAUUAUUUAUCCUAACAAACUGCAUGAGGACUCACAAAAUUAACUAGAACAUAGAUACGAUACAAGAAGAUGAAGAGUAUAUGUAGAGAAAAGAGAAGGGUCUGGAUGUCAGUUAAUAACAAGUGAAUAUAAUGUAAGUAUAUAACUGUCUUUGCUGUAAGUGCAAAGUGCAGAUUUGAUUACCCACGAACAGCUUCAAAAGUGUGAGAUUCUGCUCUAUUACCCAACAGCAGCCAUUUUAUAAUAGGGGAACGUACGUAAGAGUAGCAUUCACACAUCUUUGAAUCAUUCAUGUCACAUGGGAAAAGUCCUUAAAUGAUGCACAGUUGGACAUGCCGACAUUAUCGAAUUGUUUGCAACUGCAAAAGCCCAAUAGAUAUUUCUGUAACGCACGGUGAUUAUUUCUACUACUCUAUAUAUAAAUAAGGUCACGAUCCUAAUUUGUCGUGACAUCACUUAAUCUCUAAUAUUAGGUAAGUCUAAUAACAUGCGGAAUCAUUGAAUGAAAACUUAAAAUCUAAACACUUCAGCAACUACAUAAAUAAAAUCUGUAACUCAAUGAGUACAACUUCUAAAACCUGGUGAAAUGUAAUAUAUGAUGUGUAUUGUUUUAGGUAGACAUGCUGUUGCGCAAUAUCGUGAGUUAACUAGCACACAAUCACACACAAAACAAAUAGAGAAGAAAAAUCAACAGAAGGAUUUAACGAGGUUCAACCAAGCCUAAUCUUCGGGGCAAAAGCAGAGAGAGUUUUCCACUAUGAAUGAGAAGAAAAUCACAAUACAAUCUAUAGAAUCCCCAACUACAACCCCUAUAUAUAUAGAUCCCAAAAGGUCCCAAACAUAUAUGAGAAAGGUUUUUCAAUUUGUCAAGGACUAUAGGUUUUCCUUUUCUAAAUCUAUUAGGACAAUGGGUUUUCAUAAACCUAUAGGGACUAUGGGGGUUCCCAAUUUGACAAGGGCUAUAGGUUUUCCUUUUCCAAAUCUAUGAGGACAAUGUAUUUUCCUAAACCUAUGGGGACUAUGAGUUUCCUAAAAAUACAAGAAAAUAAGUCAAUCCACAAAUAACAAAUCUUCCCCUUGACUUGAAUUCUCUUCAUCAACAGGAACAUCUCUCUACCUUGCCCUCAGCCCUCGCAAGGGCUCUAUCCAUUUUCGCUUACAUCAACCAAGUCUAGGAAACACCUAACCUUGUUAAGAGACUCAAUCUCUUUAGCCAUAGCACUAAUCCGUUGAUUUGGUUCUAUACUCGGAAAUAACUUCUAGAUAGCUAUAACACUCAAACACAUCAACGGUAUCUGCAACUGCCAAAGCAAAUCCCACUGGAUGUGUAUAUCCAAGAAGAUUCCCAUCAACUACGUUUGUAAACCUUUGCGGUCGGUUGAUCACUCUCUUCUCUCAACUUGUUGCAAUGUUAUAUGGUUGUUGUUGCGCAGGUGCAUCAACAUUAACGUCUUGAUCAAUAUUUUGCACCUCCUCCACUUCCUCUAUUUUAGAACUACUGGGCUGAGCUAGUGAAGAUUCAAUUUCUAGCUUUAUGCAGUCACUGACACCAUAAUCUGUUUCUGCUAUUGCCUUCUCCCUCUGACAGUCCAGUGAGGCAGAUUCAUUGAAUGUUACAUCCCUACUGAUAAUUAGCCCUAGAUUCUUUUGAUCUGGGCACCACGACAUAUAACCUUUCUCUCCAGUUGCAUACCCUGAAAUAUGCACUUCUUUGCCCUCGGCUCAAGUUUUCCAUCCCUCACAUGAGCAUAAGCAGGACAACCAAAUAUCCUUAAAUUUGAAUAAUCAGCAGACGAACCGAACCAUACCUCAAAAGGAGUUUUGAACUCAAUAGCUGUGGAUGGAGAUCUAUUAACCAAAUAACAAGAUGUAUUGAUUGCUUCAGCCCAGAAAUCUUUGCUAACACAUGAGUGUAAAAGCAUGCUUCGUGCCCUAUCACAAAGCGUUCUAUUCAUACAUUCUGCAAUACCAUUUUUUUGGUAUUACGACACAAGUUUGGUGUCUCACUAUGCCCUCCCUGCUUCAGAAAUUAUCGAACUCAGAAUUUCAAAAUUCCAACCCAUUGUCAGUUCGAAGAUGCUUCUCUUUUCUUUCCGUCUGCCUCUCAACCAUCGUCUUCCAUUUAACAAAUUUCGAAAAUGCCUCAUCUUUGUUUUCAGAAAAUACACCCACACCAUCCUUGAGUAAUCAUCAAUCAAAGUCAUAAAAUACCUGGCACCACUCUUGGAGGGAACUUUAUUUGGACCCCACAAGUCAGAGUGUAUAUAAUCUAACUUGUCUCUGGUCUUGUGCUCGACCUUCUUGAUGAACUUUAUCCUUGUAUGUUUACCAAAAUCACAAUGCUCACAAAAAUUCAAAGUUUGAUUUUUGUACCCAUUCAGAAAAUUCUGCUUACUCAGCAAAGACAAUCCAUUAUCACUCAUAUGGCCAAGUCGCAAGUGCCACAAUUGAGACUAAUUCAGGUCACUUUUCCCAGAAGCUACAGCAACUUCACGUUUAACUACACUGGCCUGAAGAUAAUACUAUUUAGAAUGUUAUUUACCCUUCAUGAGUAGCAUGGAGCCUUUACACACUUUAAGUAUUUUAUUCUCGUAGUGAAAUUUAUACCCCUGAUCAUCCAAAGUCGAAAGAGAACUCAAAUUUCUCUUUAUCCGAGGAACAUGCCAACAUUCAAUGUUUCUGAUGACGUCCAAAUCCACUGCUAAAAGCAAUUGACACGGUCGCAUGCAAUAUAAUUUACCCAACUAUGAGUUGGGGUCGAAUGUCACAGAGAACAAUGUGUAGGCGAUUAGGAAUGUAAGAAAAUUAUCGCUAGUCGCGCAAUGCCAAACACUAAGAAUUUUGGUUGAAAAUUUGUUUUUAUAUCUAAAUGCAAAAAUGUAAACUAACCAAGAAAGCAAGUAAAAUGAUCAAUGGCUACAAGUAUGAAUGCAUCGGGAAUUACACUCAAGUAACAAUCUAAUGUAUAUUACGAUUUUACAAAUAUGAGCAAGUUUAUGUUAAUUAGCCACGUAUAAUGAUUUUUAAUUAACUUCUUCCGAAGACUAACAAGACUUCCUAAUUGAAAUAUCCAUAAUCACAAUUAGAAUAUUAAGCAUACCCGGAAGGCUACAAGUAGUUCAAUCCUAUCCCUAGAUAGAAUCUAUAAAAUGGGUUAACGCCUCAAGUUCUUGUUAAUUA
This 22420-nucleotide long non-coding RNA is filed under the name Nicotiana benthamiana. RNAcentral's name for it is "long non-coding RNA (NBEN_LNC009740)". The record is from RNAcentral. Lineage: Eukaryota; Viridiplantae; Streptophyta; Magnoliopsida; Solanales; Solanaceae.